AGCAACGCCGCGUGAAUGAAGAAGGCCUUCGGGUUGUAAACUUCUGUCUUUGGGGAAGAAUAAAUGACGGUACCCAAGGAGGAAGCCACGGCUAACUACGUGCCAGCAGCCGCGGUAAUACUUAGGUGGCAAGCGUUGUUCGGAAUUACUGGGUGUAAAGGGUGCGUAGGCGGGUGAUCAAGUCAGGUGUGAAAUACCACGGCUCAGCUGUGGGGGUGCACUUGA
This 225-nucleotide ribosomal RNA is filed under the name uncultured bacterium. Its description in RNAcentral is "partial 16S ribosomal RNA". It matches the Rfam family "Bacterial small subunit ribosomal RNA", at positions 390 to 630 of the family's 1533-position model. The record is from RNAcentral.